UACGUAGGGCGCAAGCGUUGUCCGGAAUUAUUGGGCGUAAAGAGCUCGUAGGCGGUUUGUCGCGUCUGCUGUGAAAACCCGCGGCUUAACUGCGGGCUUGCGGUUGAUACGGGCGGGCUAGAGUUCGGUAGGGGAGACUGGAAUUCCUGGUGUAGCGGUGAAAUGCGCAGAUAUCAGGAGGAACACCGGUGGCGAAGGCGGGUCUCUGGGCCGAUACUGACGCUGAGGAGCGAAAGCGUGGGGAGCGAACAGG
Molecule: ribosomal RNA, 253 nt
Filed under: uncultured bacterium
Lineage: Bacteria
Description: partial 16S ribosomal RNA
Rfam family: Bacterial small subunit ribosomal RNA
Source: RNAcentral